This 253-nucleotide ribosomal RNA is filed under the name uncultured bacterium. Its description in RNAcentral is "partial 16S ribosomal RNA". It matches the Rfam family "Bacterial small subunit ribosomal RNA", at positions 524 to 776 of the family's 1533-position model. The record is from RNAcentral.
GACGUAGGAUGCGAGCGUUGUCCGGAUUUAUUGGGCGUAAAGAGUUCGUAGGUGGUUUGUUAAGUCUGAUGUUAAAGACUGGGGCUCAACCUCGGAAGUGCAUUGGAUACUGGCAGACUCGAGUGCAGUAGAGGCAAGCGGAAUUCCAGGUGUAGCGGUGAAAUGCGUAGAUAUCUGGAAGAACACCGGUGGCGCAAGCGGCUUGCUGGGCUAUAACUGACACUGAGGAACGAAAGCUAGGGUAGCGAAUGGG